This 69-nucleotide transfer RNA is filed under the name Plestiodon brevirostris brevirostris. Its description in RNAcentral is "partial tRNA-Gln". It matches the Rfam family "tRNA". Rfam says of the family: Transfer RNA (tRNA) molecules are approximately 80 nucleotides in length. Their secondary structure includes four short double-helical elements and three loops (D, anti-codon, and T loops). The record is from RNAcentral. Lineage: Eukaryota; Metazoa; Chordata; Lepidosauria; Squamata; Scincidae.
AGAGAGUAGUAUAGUGGAGGUACGUGGGGUUUUGGGCCCCUUAGUACAGGUUCGAGUCCUGUUUUUCUA